AGCCUUCUGAAUCCAUGCCGAGGUUUCGUCAGACACUAGACCAUCACUACUGAUCAGACUCACAAGAUAAGUGAAGCG
Molecule: non-coding RNA, 78 nt
Organism: Schistosoma haematobium
Lineage: Eukaryota; Metazoa; Platyhelminthes; Trematoda; Strigeidida; Schistosomatidae
Source: Rfam